GACGAACGCUGGCGGCGUGCUUAACACAUGCAAGUCGAACGGAAAGGCCCUGCUUUUGUGGGGUGCUCGAGUGGCGAACGGGUGAGUAACACGUGAGUAACCUGCCCUUGACUUUGGGAUAACUUCAGGAAACUGGGGCUAAUACCGGAUAUGAGCUCCUGCUGCAUGGUGGGGGUUGGAAAGUUUCGGCGGUUGGGGCUGGACUCGCGGCUUAUCAGCUUGUUGGGGGGGUAGUGGCGUACCAAGGCUUUGACGGGUAGCCGGCUUGGGAGGGUGACCGGCCACAUUGGGACUGAGAUACGGACCAGAAUCCUAUGGGCGGCAGCAGUGGGGAAUAUUGCAGAAUGGGCGGAAGCCUGAUGCAGCAACGCCGCGUGCGGGAUGACGGCCUUCGGGUUGUAAACCGCUUUCGACUGUGACGAAGCGUGAGUGACGGUAAUGGGUAAAGAAGCACCGGCUAACUACGUG
RNAcentral lists this ribosomal RNA (468 nucleotides) under uncultured bacterium. Its description in RNAcentral is "partial 16S ribosomal RNA". It matches the Rfam family "Bacterial small subunit ribosomal RNA", at positions 28 to 507 of the family's 1533-position model. The record is from RNAcentral.